GAUGAACGCUGGCGGCGUGCUUAACACAUGCAAGUCGAACGGAAAGGCCCUGCUUUUGUGGGGUGCUCGAGUGGCGAACGGGGGAGUAACACGUGAGUAACAUGCCCUUGACUUUGGGAUAAAUUUAGGAAACUGGGGAUAAUAUCGGAUAGGAGAUCCUGCAGCAUGGUGGGGGUUGGAAAGUUUCGGCGGUUGGGGAUGGACUGGCGGCUUAUCAGCUUGAUGGUGGGGUAGUGGAUGACCAAGGCUUUGACGGAUAGCCGGCAUGGGAGCGUGAACGGCCUCAAUGCUCCUGAGAUACGGCCCAGUCUCCAAUCGUAGGCAACGGUCGAAAGUAUUACACAAUGAGCGGGCGUCUGUUACGACGGCCCCCGGUUCGGAAUGCCCUGUUUCUGGUUAUGAACCGCUUUCGCCUUAGACGAAGCGUUAGUGACGGUACUGAAUCAAAAAGCACCGGCUAACUACGUG
This 468-nucleotide ribosomal RNA is filed under the name uncultured bacterium. RNAcentral's name for it is "partial 16S ribosomal RNA". It matches the Rfam family "Bacterial small subunit ribosomal RNA", at positions 28 to 507 of the family's 1533-position model. The record is from RNAcentral.